UUUCCGGUUGAUCCCGCCGGAGGUUACUGCUAUCGAGGUUCGACUAAGCCAUGCGAGUCGAAUGUAGCAAUACAUGGCGUACUGCUCAGUAACACGUGGAUAACCUACCCUUGAGACGGGGAUAAACCCGGGAAACUGGGUAUAAUACCCGAUAGAUCUCGACUGCUGGAAUGCAUCGAGCUCGAAAGCUCCGGCGCUCAAGGAUGGGUCUGCGGCCUAUCAGGUAGUAGUGGGUGUAGCGUACCUACUAGCCUACGACGGGUACGGGUUGUGAGAGCAAGAGCCCGGAGAUGGAUUCUGAGACACGAAUCCAGGCCCUACGGGGUGCAGCAGGCGCGAAAACUUUACAAUGCUGGAAACAGCGAUAAGGGGACCUCGAGUGCCAGGUUACAAAUCUGGCUGUCGUGAUGCCUAAAAAGCAUUGCAUAGUAAGGGCCGGGCAAGACCGGUGCCAGCCGCCGCGGUAACACCGGCGGCUCGAGUGGUAGCCGUUAUUAUUGGGUCUAAAGGGUCUGUAGCCGGCCGGAUAAGUCUCUUGGGAAAUCUGGCAGCUUAACUGUCAGGCUUUCAGGAGAUACUGUCUGGCUCGAGGCCGGGAGAGGUGAGGGGUACUUCAGGGGUAGGGGUGAAAUCUUGUAAUCCUUGAAGGACCACCAGUGGCGAAGGCGUCUCACCAGAACGGACCUGACGGCAAGGGACGAAAGCUAGGGGCACGAACCGGAUUAGAUACCCGGGUAGUCCUAGCCGUAAACGAUACUCGCUAGGUGUCAGCCACGGUGCGACCGUGGUUGGUGCCGUAGGGAAGCCGUGAGGCGAGCCACCUGGGAAGUACGGCCGCAAGGUUGAGACUUAAAGGAAUUGGCGGGGGAGCACUACAACGGGUGGAGCUGCGGUUUAAUUGGAUUCAACGCCGGGA
This 916-nucleotide ribosomal RNA is filed under the name uncultured archaeon. RNAcentral's name for it is "bacterial SSU rRNA". It matches the Rfam family "Archaeal small subunit ribosomal RNA", at positions 1 to 923 of the family's 1478-position model. The record is from RNAcentral.